GUUAUGCUGUCGUCACAUUUUACCGCGCAGCUCGUUCUCCCAAGAUGCAGCAGGAACUCCGGAGGCAACGUGCAGAGUCCAGACUCCUGCCGCCUCUCAUUCAGGCUGCAGGCAAUCUGAAAUCAACACACCUGACGCUGAUAAAGACUCCACUCCCUUCAUAAGCCAGCGCGUCCUGCGUUGCAUUGCCAGAACGUAGCUACCUGUCCCAGUAAUCGUUUCCCUAUGUCCUGGUUUCGAGUUCUGUGUCCCAUCUCCCUUGAUCCCCUCUGGACUCCCUGCUGUCUUCCUGGAUCUUGACCUCCCGCCUGGACACGGACCUUGACCUCUCGCUUGCCCACGGACCUCCGAGCUUGCCUUGCCCUCUCUGGACUUCCACCUCUCGCUCAACACGUACCUUCAACAACUCCUGGCAACAGAGGCUGGAAUAAGUCCAGCGCCCCACAAAGCCAACGUACUUAAAGUUUGGAUGCAGUGUAUACCACACAUAAUAAUAUUAUAAAAGAAACUUCCCCCCCAAAAAAAACGAUCAGAUCUGUUUUUGUCAUUUCAAAUGAAAGACCUGGAAACAUCCACUGAGAUGAUU
Nerophis ophidion (straightnose pipefish) is the source of this 586-nucleotide long non-coding RNA. RefSeq lists it as uncharacterized. Lineage: Eukaryota; Metazoa; Chordata; Actinopteri; Syngnathiformes; Syngnathidae. The transcript is spliced from 4 exons. The record is from RefSeq and is a predicted model, not a curated record.